ACUUAAAUAAUUUAAAUAAAAAUAUUGAUUUGUGGUGUCAAAAAUGUGGAUUAAUGGUCAUUUUAAGUU
RNAcentral lists this transfer RNA (69 nucleotides) under Junonia westermanni. RNAcentral describes it as "tRNA-His". The record is from RNAcentral. Lineage: Eukaryota; Metazoa; Arthropoda; Insecta; Lepidoptera; Nymphalidae.